UACUAACGCUGGCGGCGUGCUUAACACAUGCAAGUCGAACGGAAAGGCCCUGCUGUUGUGGGGUGCUCGAGUGGCGAACGGGUGAGUAACACGUGAGUAACCUGCCCUUGACUUUGGGAUAACUUCAGGAAACUGGGGCUAAUAACGGGUAUGAGCUCCUGCUGCAUGGUGGGGGUUGGAAAUUUUCGGCGGUUGGGGAUGGACUCGCGGCUUAUCAGCUUGUUGGUGGGGUUGUGGCUUACCAAGGCUUUGACGGGUAGCCGGCCUGAGAGGGUGACCGGCCACAUUGGGACUGAGAUACGGCCCAGACUCCUACGGGAGGCAGCAGUGGGGAAUAUUGCACAAUGGGCGGAAGCCUGAUGCAGCAACGCCGCGUGCGGGAUGACGGCCUUCGGGUUGUAAACCGCUUUCGCCUGUGACGAAGCGUGAGUGACGGUAAUGGGUAAAGAAGCACCGGCUAACUACGUG
Molecule: ribosomal RNA, 468 nt
Filed under: uncultured bacterium
Lineage: Bacteria
Description: partial 16S ribosomal RNA
Rfam family: Bacterial small subunit ribosomal RNA
Source: RNAcentral